Parelaphostrongylus tenuis is the source of this 73-nucleotide non-coding RNA. Lineage: Eukaryota; Metazoa; Nematoda; Chromadorea; Rhabditida; Metastrongylidae. The record is from the annotation of a GenBank genome assembly.
GCUCGCAUGGCCUAAUGGAUAAAGCGUCCGAUUUUGAAUCAGAAAAUUGCCGGUUCGAGUCCGGUCGUGUGCU